Molecule: non-coding RNA, 30 nt
Filed under: Macaca fascicularis (crab-eating macaque)
Lineage: Eukaryota; Metazoa; Chordata; Mammalia; Primates; Cercopithecidae
Also listed under: 1 other name
Source: RNAcentral
UAAAACUAAGCAUGGAUGUUGAUGGCUAAC